Long non-coding RNA from Drosophila obscura, 736 nucleotides. RefSeq lists it as uncharacterized. The record is from RefSeq and is a predicted model, not a curated record. The transcript has 3 exons. Lineage: Eukaryota; Metazoa; Arthropoda; Insecta; Diptera; Drosophilidae.
GCAUUAGCAACAGUCGAGUAACAGACUCGAUGCAGCGCGGUGGCACAUUCCACAUACCGUUACGCUUAAGCUUUCAGUCUACGUCGAGUUCGCCACGUGCACGGACACGACGAGUCGAGCGGUUCGCGUGUCCCAAUCACGCUCCAAUCCCAAACAUAGAGACAUAACAAAAACUUCGCGUUGCGGUUCGGUUCGUUUCGGUUGCAAAAUCAAAAUAAAACUCUAGUGCAGAUCGCCACUCAAGAUACUACUUUGGAUGCUCCCAAUAUUUGUUCCUUCCUUUUGGUUAAAGUACUCGCAGUUUCCUUUUUGUUGUAAUUUUUUGUCUGUGGAAAUUCGAAAGUGUGAAAAGUGUGCCAAUGUGCCGGCUGGGGAGAAAUGCGCGCCAAAAAUUGAGAAAUUUACUUCGCGAAAUGUAACAACAACAUUUCAAAGGAAUCUGAAGAACAUUAAAAACUAUUCGUUGACUUAAUCCGAACUCAAGCUGGAAAAUCGAAGAUUUUCAAUAGAAAGAGACCAAAUAAAUGAAACAUUCGACCACCAACAUGGCGUAUGAUUAACAUACGCAUUUUUUGUUCGCCGGGAUUUCUGUGUUACGUGUGGAGGAGGGCGACCCUCUGGUUGAGCGGCGGAGAGGGAGGCGGCAAUAGGACUGAAGCUGGCAAAUCCUCACACAAAAUGCGUCGAAGAAGAAGCAGCAGCGGCAGCAGUCUUAUUAUCAGCAAACAACAACAAC